CCUUCGGGCGCCGACGAGUGGCGGACGGGUGAGUAACGCGUAGGAAUCUGCCUUAUAGUGGGGGACAACGUGGGGAAACCCACGCUAAUACCGCAUACGCCCUACGGGGGAAAGGAGGGGAUCUUCGGACCUUUCGCUAUGAGAUGAGCCUGCGUUAGAUUAGCUAGUUGGUAGGGUAAAGGCCCACCAAGGCGACGAUCUAUAGCUGGUCUGAGAGGACGAUCAGCCACACUGGGACUGAGACACGGCCCAGACUCCUACGGGAGGCAGCAGUGGGGAAUAUUGGACAAUGGGCGCAAGCCUGAUCCAGCAAUACCGCGUGUGUGAAGAAGGCCCUAGGGUUGUAAAGCACUUUCAAUUGGGAGGAAAACCUGCCGGUCAAUACCCGGUAGCUUGACAUUACCUUUAGAAGAAGCACCGGCUAACUCCGUGCCAGCAGCCGCGGUAAUACGGAGGGUGCGAGCGUUAAUCGGAAUUACUGGGCGUAAAGCGUGCGUAGGUGGUUCGUUAAGUCAGAUGUGAAAGCCCUGGGCUCAACCUGGGAACUGCAUUUGAAACUGGCGGACUAGAGUUUAGUAGAGGGGAGUGGAAUUUCAGGUGUAGCGGUGAAAUGCGUAGAUAUCUGAAGGAACACCAGUGGCGAAGGCGACUCCCUGGACUAAAGCUGACGCUGAGGUACGAAAGCGUGGGUAGCAAACAGGAUUAGAUACCCUGGUAGUCCACGCCGUAAACGAUGUCGACUAGCCGUUGGUCCUAUAUACAGGAUUAGUGGCGCAGCUAACGCAUUAAGUCGACCGCCUGGGGAGUACGGCCGCAAGGUUAAAACUCAAAUGAAUUGACGGGGGCCCGCACAAGCGGUGGAGCAUGUGGUUUAAUUCGAUGCAACGCGAAGAACCUU
Molecule: ribosomal RNA, 898 nt
Filed under: uncultured Methylobacter sp.
Lineage: Bacteria; Pseudomonadati; Pseudomonadota; Gammaproteobacteria; Methylococcales; Methylococcaceae
Description: bacterial SSU rRNA
Rfam family: Bacterial small subunit ribosomal RNA
Source: RNAcentral